UGGGGAAUAUUGGACAAUGGGCGCAAGCCUGAUCCAGCCAUGCCGCGUGUGUGAAGAAGGCCUUCGGGUUGUAAAGCACUUUUGUUGGGGAAGAAAAGCACUGGGUUAAUACCCUGGUGUUCUGACGGUACCCAAAGAAUAAGCACCGGCUAACUUCGUGCCAGCAGCCGCGGUAAUACGAAGGGUGCAAGCGUUACUCGGAAUUACUGGGCGUAAAGCGUGCGUAGGUGGUGAGUUAAGUCUGUCGUGAAAGCCCCGGGCUCAACCUGGGAAUGGCGAUGGAUACUGGCUCGCUAGAGUGCGGUAGAGGAGAGUGGAAUUCCCGGUGUAGCAGUGAAAUGCGUAGAGAUCGGGAGGAACAUCAGUUGCGAAGGCGGCUCUCUGGACCAGCACUGACACUGAGGCACGAAAGCGUGGGGAGCAAACAGG
This 429-nucleotide ribosomal RNA is filed under the name uncultured bacterium. RNAcentral's name for it is "bacterial SSU rRNA". It matches the Rfam family "Bacterial small subunit ribosomal RNA", at positions 355 to 776 of the family's 1533-position model. The record is from RNAcentral.